CCUACGGGAGGCACCAGUGGGGAAUAUUGCACAAUGGGCGCAAGCCUGAUGCAGCCAUACCGCGUGUAUGAAGAAGGCCUUCGGGUUGUAAGGUACUUUCAGCGGGGAGGAAGGUGUUGUGGUUAAUAACCACAGCAAUUGACGUUACCCGCAGAAGAAGCACCGGCUGACUCCGUGCCAGCAGCCGCGGUAAUACGGAGAGUGCAAGCGUUAAUCGGAAUUACUGGGCGUAAAGCGCACGCAGGCGGUCUGUCAAGUCGGAUGUGAAAUCCCCGGGCUCAACCUGGGAACUGCAUUCGAAACUGGCAGGCUAGAGUCUUGUAGAGGGGGGUAGAAUUCCAGGUGUAGCGGUGAAAUGCGUAGAGAUCUGGAGGAAUACCGGUGGCAAAGGCGGCCCCCUGGACAAAGACUGACGCUCAGGUGCGAAAGCGUGGGGAGCAAACAGGAUUAGAUACCCGUGUAGUC
Molecule: ribosomal RNA, 465 nt
Filed under: uncultured bacterium
Lineage: Bacteria
Description: bacterial SSU rRNA
Rfam family: Bacterial small subunit ribosomal RNA
Source: RNAcentral